UACUGUGCCAGCGCCUACUGCCCCUCCUCAGACCCGGUCCCUCUCCCAGCCAGGAGGUGAACCAGUUCUGCCAGAUUCUGGCAGUUCGACGAGGGCCAGUUGGUGUCGGCCCUACGGACAUCAUGCCUGGUGGAUUGCGCCGUGAUGCAGGACAGCCCUGAUUGUCUGGUCCAGACCCAGGCUAUAUCCUGUCUGCAGCAGAUGCACGUGUUUGCCCCGCGCCACGUCAACCUGGUUAGCCUGGUGCCCAGCCUGUGUGUAGUCAGAUGUGACCAUAAAGGAGGUUGUUUAGCCUGCUGGAUCGGGAGUCAGACAGCAGGGUGUUCUCAGUGACCUGAGGGACCUGAGGAGAGUACACCAGCUCCUGGCCUCUUCUCUGGUCAAGAUCCAGACAGGGAAAGAGGUGCCCAGU
This is a long non-coding RNA of Esox lucius (northern pike), 412 nucleotides long. RefSeq lists it as uncharacterized. NCBI's taxonomy places the organism in Eukaryota, Metazoa, Chordata, Actinopteri, Esociformes, Esocidae. The record is from RefSeq and is a predicted model, not a curated record. The transcript has 3 exons.